Small nucleolar RNA from Acanthochromis polyacanthus (spiny chromis), 74 nucleotides. The record is from Ensembl. NCBI's taxonomy places the organism in Eukaryota, Metazoa, Chordata, Actinopteri, Pomacentridae.
UCUUCAGUGAUGAUUAAUACAGUGACUUUCGUUCUUCUGAGCCUACUGAAGCCAACCUUUCUGUCCUGAGAAGA